RNAcentral lists this long non-coding RNA (604 nucleotides) under Olea europaea subsp. europaea. Lineage: Eukaryota; Viridiplantae; Streptophyta; Magnoliopsida; Lamiales; Oleaceae. The record is from RNAcentral.
CAAUGCAUUGAUGAACUAGUGGAGGCCUCCAAUAAUCAUCAAAAAAUAGUGGCCAAGGCUUUGGAGGCAACCAACAGGGGAAGUGGGAGUUGAAGGCCCUGUUGGGGAGUCUCUAGAAGAGGUCGUGGAUAUGAGGCAUCAACUUCACACGGUGAAGAACCCGUGAAUAGUCAUAUAAAAAACUUCCAUUCAACAGAAGAUUAUGACUUUUUCGACAACUAUUGGAGGAGAUUUGUCUAUGAUGAGCUACUGAAUUAAACUCGGGAAAUGUAUCCUGAUUUUGACACCAGAAGAAUUUCUUCGAGUUGAAGAGCCACCUACCCCAGCAGACAGCUAAAUGGAUCUGGUUGAUCAUCCGUCUGAUGCCCAAUACCCUCCAGUUGACCCCGAAUCUUAUGAUCUUAUUUCUUUCCCUUUCUGAAUUUUGUAACUUUCAAGGCUUCGUUUUCCUUGUAAAUAUUUUCUUGUUAAUUAAGUAUUGCCUUUUGAAUUCUACUUUAUAAGUAAAAAAAAAUAAUAAGAACUGAUCUCUUAACCACCAAGGCCCUGUUUGGUACACAUUAAUAUAAAAAUGAAAAUGAAAAAUAUAGACGUUACGAACCCC